Long non-coding RNA from Acanthaster planci (crown-of-thorns starfish), 1374 nucleotides. RefSeq lists it as uncharacterized. Lineage: Eukaryota; Metazoa; Echinodermata; Asteroidea; Valvatida; Acanthasteridae. The record is from RefSeq and is a predicted model, not a curated record.
CAUGUUUAGAGCUUGUCUGAAAAACACAUUGUUGUUGACGCUACAGUAAUAAAACAGAGAUUUCUCGACCAGAACAGCGAUCUGUGGAUGUGUGUGUGUCUAUACUAUCGGCGGAUCCUAACCCGUAGGACACGCUACAAUAUCAUCCCAGAAUAUAAAAACCCAUGGUGUGGUCGUCAUCAUCCUGUUUUAUGCUCGUCAUGUGGAGGUUCGCCCGGCCCUAGCUCCGUGCAUGAGACGCAUCUUCCCAUGAUGCACCCCGGCAAGUCAACAGAUGCUGAAAUGGUUUCUACUACGGCGCAUACUCGGCAGUCAUCAGGGCCAACUGCCGAUUUGUAUAUGUCCAUUACAACACCACAAUACGAAUUGCGCAUGAGGCAGAUUUGGGCAUGCCCCUCAGAAAAAGGAAAAAAAAAACAAAGAAAAAGAUAAAAGCCUAAUUUGUUUGCACAAUUUGUUUUUCUUGUGUGGCCUUAAAAAAGGAACACGGCAUAGCGUGUUAGUUGAUAUUGUGUGUAGGCCUACAAUUUUUUCACAAAAGCAAAAUUGAUAAAAUUUAGUCAGUAGUUUCAAAUGAUCUUUUUGCAGUAGUUAUAUUUUGCAAAGAGGUCUUCGGGGGAUAGGUUUCGCAAUGAAAUAAAGCUCUUGAAUACAUGAUAAGGUUUGAUGUGGAAUUUGGUGAGUGGUCAGUACCAUUUUCUUGAAUUCAUAGUGUGACAUAAUACAUUUGCGCCGAGAUGACAUUGUUUCAUUAAAUAUUACCAUCUUUAUAUCACGUCGGAGCAAUUUAACCUCCAGAAUUUCCUUUCGUUUUGAUUAUGUGGACCAGGUCUCCUAUGCUUUCUGAGGUCUACUGCAGAAUGCAGAGUUGUUGAUUAUUUUGAUUUAAUCCCACAUUCUUGCAGGAAAUCAAAAACAAGGUGUUCUGUUAGCAAAGUGUCAACUUAGCAUGCUUUAUGUACUCGAAUCGUUCCUACAUUUUGGCCAAAUUAACGGUUCAAGCUAUGGCGAGUCUGGUUUAAAAAUUAAACAAUUUACAAUAUUAAUAUAAUAAGCUACGCAAUUUUCUCGCCUUUUUAUGGUUUCCUUCUACGGAUAGAUGUCCGACACGUCACAGUUUCCACGAUGGGACAAUUUUCUCGUGACUUGUAGUGAACCCCUUCUUUCAGCAGAACCAAUUUUGUGUUCCGUCUUGUCGGAAAAUUGUGGGGGGGGUUGUCAAUUUGGCAGAACUGGCCAUGCUCACGUUGAAAGAGAACACUAAAUAAUAUUUUUUUUAAAAUUCCAGUAGCUUCACUUUAGAAAAAAUUAAAGUUCGUUUCCAUUCUGACUGAAAAUAAAUUUACUGGGAUUUUGAUAAAACCAGAUUGAAAA